GACGAACGCUGGCGGCGUGCUUAACACAUGCAAGUCGAACGGAAAGGCCCUGCUUUUGUGGGGUGCUCGAGUGGCGAACGGGUGAGUAACACGUGAGUAACCUGCCCUUGACUUUGGGAUAACUUCAGGAAACUGGGGCUAAUACCGGAUAGGAGCUCCUGCUGCAUGGUGGGGGUUGGAAAGUUUCGGCGGUUGGGGAUGGACUCGCGGCUUAUCAGCUUGUUGGUGGGGUAGUGGCUUACCAAGGCUUUGACGGGUCGCCGGCCUGAGAGGUUGACCGGCCACAUUGGGACUGAGAUACGGCCCAGACUCCUACGGGAGGCAGCAGUGGGGAAUAUUGCACAAUGGGCCGAAGCCUGAUGCAGCAACGCCGCGUGCGGGAUGACGGCCUUCGGGUUGUAAACCGCUUUCGCCUGUGACGAAGCGUGAGUGACGGUAAUGGGUAAAGAAGCACCGGCUAACUACGUG
RNAcentral lists this ribosomal RNA (468 nucleotides) under uncultured bacterium. Its description in RNAcentral is "partial 16S ribosomal RNA". It matches the Rfam family "Bacterial small subunit ribosomal RNA", at positions 28 to 507 of the family's 1533-position model. The record is from RNAcentral.